Small nuclear RNA from Sorex fumeus (smoky shrew), 105 nucleotides. NCBI's taxonomy places the organism in Eukaryota, Metazoa, Chordata, Mammalia, Eulipotyphla, Soricidae. The record is from RefSeq and is a predicted model, not a curated record.
CGCCCUACCACUGUGCUAUAUACUAAAAUUGGAACGAUACAGAGAAGAUUAGCAUGGCCCCUGCACAAGGAUGACACGCAAAUUCAAUAUUCAUAUUAUAUUCAA